AAUAUGGGAAAAGGUGCAAAAGCCUGAUCCAGCCAUGCCGCUUGUGUGAAGUUGGACAUAUGACUGUCAAGCACUUUAAGUUGAGAGGAAGGUCAGUAAGUUAAUACCUUGCUGUUUUGUCGAUACCGACAGAAUAAGCACCUGCUAACUUCGUGCCAGCAGCUGCGGUAAUACGAAGGGUGCAAGCGUUACUCGGAAUUACUGGGCGUAAAGCGCGCGUAGGUGGUUUGUUAAGUUGGAAGUGAAAGCCCCGGGCUCAACCUGGGAACUGCUUUCAAAACUGGCAAGCUAGAGUAUGGCAGAGGGUGGUGGAAUUUCCUGUGUAGCGGUGAAAUGCGUAGAUAUAGGAAGGAACACCAGUGGCGAAGGCGACUACCUGGUCGAGAACUGACGCUGAUGCACGAAAGCUAGGGGAGCAAACA
RNAcentral lists this ribosomal RNA (422 nucleotides) under uncultured bacterium. RNAcentral's name for it is "partial 16S ribosomal RNA". It matches the Rfam family "Bacterial small subunit ribosomal RNA", at positions 360 to 774 of the family's 1533-position model. The record is from RNAcentral.